UUUAUUGGAGAGUUUGAUCCUGGCUCAGGAUGAACGCUGGCGGCGUGCCUAAUACAUGCAAGUCGAGCGAAUGGAUUAAGAGCUUGCUCUUAUGAAGUUAGCGGCGGACGGGUGAGUAACACGUGGGUAACCUGCCCAUAAGACUGGGAUAACUCCGGGAAACCGGGGCUAAUACCGGAUAACAUUUUGAACCGCAUGGUUCGAAAUUGAAAGGCGGCUUCGGCUGUCACUUAUGGAUGGACCCGCGU
This 248-nucleotide ribosomal RNA is filed under the name Bacillus thuringiensis. Its description in RNAcentral is "partial 16S ribosomal RNA". It matches the Rfam family "Bacterial small subunit ribosomal RNA", at positions 1 to 236 of the family's 1533-position model. Lineage: Bacteria; Bacillati; Bacillota; Bacilli; Caryophanales; Bacillaceae. The record is from RNAcentral.